Molecule: ribosomal RNA, 301 nt
Filed under: uncultured bacterium
Lineage: Bacteria
Description: partial 16S ribosomal RNA
Rfam family: Bacterial small subunit ribosomal RNA
Source: RNAcentral
CAGUAGCCACGGUAAUACGAAGGGUGCAAGCGUUAAUCGGAAUUACUGGGCGUAAAGCGUGCGCAGGCGGUCGUGUAAGACAGGUGUGAAAUCCCCGGGCUUAACCUGGGAACUGCGCUUGUGACUGCACAGCUAGAGUAUGGCAGAGGGGGGUGGAAUUCCACGUGUAGCAGUGAAAUGUGUAGAGAUGUGGAGGAACACCGAUGGCGAAGGCAGCCCCCUGGGCCAAUACUGACGCUCAUGCACGAAAGCGUGGGGAGCAAACAGGAUUAGAUACCCGCGUAGUCCCUGUCUCUUAUCC